This 68-nucleotide transfer RNA is filed under the name Marmota monax (woodchuck). RNAcentral's name for it is "tRNA.Val". Lineage: Eukaryota; Metazoa; Chordata; Mammalia; Rodentia; Sciuridae. The record is from RNAcentral.
GGAUUGUGGCUUAGUGGUAGAGCACUUGCCUAACACAUGUCAGACACUGGGUUCAAACCUCAGCACCA